Molecule: ribosomal RNA, 818 nt
Filed under: Lasiodiplodia lignicola
Lineage: Eukaryota; Fungi; Ascomycota; Dothideomycetes; Botryosphaeriales; Botryosphaeriaceae
Description: eukaryotic LSU rRNA
Rfam family: Eukaryotic large subunit ribosomal RNA
Source: RNAcentral
GGGAUUGCCUUAGUAACGGCGAGUGAAGCGGCAACAGCUCAAAUUUGAAAGCUGGCCCUUUUAGGGUCCGCGUUGUAAUUUGUAGAGGAUGAUUCGGCGAGGGCUCCUGCCUAAGUCCCCUGGAACGGGGCGUCAUAGAGGGUGAGAAUCCCGUAUGCGGUAGGUUGCCUUAGCCAUGUGAAUCUCCUUCGACGAGUCGAGUUGUUUGGGAAUGCAGCUCUAAAUGGGAGGUAAAUUUCUUCUAAAGCUAAAUACUGGCCAGAGACCGAUAGCGCACAAGUAGAGUGAUCGAAAGAUGAAAAGCACUUUGGAAAGAGAGUUAAAAAGUACGUGAAAUUGUUGAAAGGGAAGCGCUUGCAACCAGACUUGUCCGCAGUUGCUCAGCCGGUCUCCUGACCGGCGUACUCUUCUGCGGCCAGGCCAGCAUCAGUUCGGGCGGUCGGAUAAAGGCCUCGGGAAUGUAGCUCCUCUCGGGGAGUGUUAUAGCCCGGGGUGGAAUGCGACCAGCCUGGACUGAGGAUCUCGCUUCGGCAAGGAUGCUGGCGUAAUGGUUGUAAGCGGCCCGUCUUGAAACACGGACCAAGGAGUCUAACAUCUAUGCGAGUGUUCGGGUGUCAAACCCGUACGCGUAAUGAAAGUGAACGGAGGUGGGAACCCGCAAGGGUGCACCAUCGGCCGAUCCUGAUGUCUUCGGAUGGAUUUGAGCAAGAGCAUAGCUGUUGGGACCCGAAAGAUGGUGAACUAUGCCUGAAUAGGGUGAAGCCAGAGGAAACUCUGGUGGAGGCUCGCAGCGGUUCUGACGUGCAAAUCGAUCGUCA